This 380-nucleotide ribosomal RNA is filed under the name Betta stiktos. Its description in RNAcentral is "partial 12S ribosomal RNA". It matches the Rfam family "Bacterial small subunit ribosomal RNA", at positions 803 to 1384 of the family's 1533-position model. Lineage: Eukaryota; Metazoa; Chordata; Actinopteri; Anabantiformes; Osphronemidae. The record is from RNAcentral.
UAAACAUUGAUAUCUUUUUACACCCAUUAUCCGCCCGGGUACUACGAGCAUUAGCUUAAAACCCAAAGGACUUGGCGGUGCUUUAGACCCCCCUAGAGGAGCCUGUUCUAGAACCGAUAAUCCCCGUUCAACCUCACCCCCUCUUGUUUAUUCCGCCUAUAUACCGCCGUCGUCAGCCCACCCUGUGAAGGUCCAAUAGUGAGCAAAAAUGGCAAAGCCCCAAACGUCAGGUCGAGGUGUAGCAUAUGAGGGGGGAAGAAAUGGGCUACAUUCUCUAAACAACAGAGCAUACGGUUAAUAUAUUGAAAUAUAUAUUUUAAGGAGGAUUUAGUAGUAAGUAGGAAGUAGAGUGUCCUGCUGAACCCGGCUCUAAAGCGUGC